AGUACAGUACAGUACAGUAGAUCAAACGACUGCAUCGCCAUUGUUUCAGCAACUAAACACAUAAAACGGAGUCGUGUCCUUGGUCGCGUUUAGUCGGACAUUCUGCGUACCGCCAAUGUCGACGGAAAGCGACUUUUAGUACACAUCAUCUCCUUCAUCGUAAUAAUAACAUGGCAGCGUCAUCGAUGUGGGCUCGUAUGAUGUUAAUCUCCCAAUGUCAGAAAAGAGACCAGAUGAACGUGCGCGGUGAAGCCACGCCAGUGCCGACGCACACUCAUAAUACAGUGUGUUCUGCAACUUCAAUGCACUGGUUGAAACAAACUACAUUUUCCCAUUUGAGAUAUAAAGUAAACGACUCAAGACGAGCUUGGCUGAUGCCUCGACACUCCCCAUAUUAGUGGGCAUGAAAGAAGAAUGAAGAGGCCAGGUACCAUACAGUGUAUCACAAAAGAAUUGCUUGAAUGAGAAGAUGAGUCGCAGAGGCCCAAACGCCCAAUGUGCCAGUGUGUGCCCUUCCACUAGCGCGUAGCUGGACACGAGCACCCCGUCCACAAACAAAGUUCCAUCUUGUGUCAAAGCAACAUUCACCCUGGCCCAGCCGGGGAAACAGCCUCCUUUUUCCACCGCAACUGAGUGGUCUGCACACAGAUACAAUUCCAACUCGACCUUCAUAGUGCAGAGAUCCGGCAGGGUGGUGACCAUCCUCAUCCCAGGCCUCUGUCACCCGGAGGUGCACGCCGGGCCACUGGUUCAUCACUGCUAUGGCCAGCCUGUUCAAACACUCCUUACAGCGCUAGAAAAAGAGUCAAACACAGUACAGGGGUUAUUCAGAGUAUAAACCUUAAGCAUGUAAAAUAAAUCAUUCAC
This is a long non-coding RNA of Corythoichthys intestinalis (scribbled pipefish), 867 nucleotides long. RefSeq lists it as uncharacterized. The transcript is spliced from 5 exons. NCBI's taxonomy places the organism in Eukaryota, Metazoa, Chordata, Actinopteri, Syngnathiformes, Syngnathidae. The record is from RefSeq and is a predicted model, not a curated record.